AAAACACGCGUCGUAAGCACAUUGGACGAAUUUCUUGGCUACAUACGUUUACCCCGUUUGAUGCUGCCGGGUAUUACGAAUACUUCCGAGGCGCCACUGCUCUGCGAAGACGCCAAGGAUGCAUAUCAUUAUUGAGAAUAUAUUGUUUGUAUGAGUAGAUCUUCUACUUUCUGCGCGAAUAUUAUGGCUCUUACUGAACUGUAACCAUAGCACCUAAUAAUAGGCCCAUUGCAAGAGGGACGUCUGUCAAUGUGUAACAGGACGAAGAUACAUAGUAUUAUGCAAACUGGUGUUAAUAUGGUCCUUGAGCUGUGGCUAACUUCCGAGUCAAAGGAGCGAAAUCACAAGAACUGUUGAUUGAAUACUUCAGCGAGGGAUUUACCGCUUAGCACUUUAUCG
Long non-coding RNA from Dermacentor albipictus, 399 nucleotides. RefSeq lists it as uncharacterized. NCBI's taxonomy places the organism in Eukaryota, Metazoa, Arthropoda, Arachnida, Ixodida, Ixodidae. The record is from RefSeq and is a predicted model, not a curated record.